This 305-nucleotide ribosomal RNA is filed under the name uncultured bacterium. RNAcentral describes it as "bacterial SSU rRNA". It matches the Rfam family "Bacterial small subunit ribosomal RNA", at positions 337 to 659 of the family's 1533-position model. The record is from RNAcentral.
UCCUACGGGGGCAGCAGUGGGGAAUAUUGCACAAUGGGGGAAACCCUGAUGCAGCAACGCCGCGUGAGUGAAGAAGUAUUUCGGUAUGUAAAGCUCUAUCAGCAGGGAAGAAGAAAGACGGUACCUGACUAAGAAGCCCCGGCUAACUACGUGCCAGCAGCCGCGGUAAUACGUAGGGGGCAAGCGUUAUCCGGAUUUACUGGGUGUAAAGGGAGCGUAGACGGCAUAGCAAGUCUGAAUUGAAAGCCCGUGUCUCAACCGCGGCACUGCUUUGUAACCUGUUAAUCUGGAGUACUGGUGAGGCA